This 1586-nucleotide long non-coding RNA is filed under the name Brachypodium distachyon (stiff brome). Its description in RNAcentral is "long non-coding RNA (BDIS_LNC003065)". Lineage: Eukaryota; Viridiplantae; Streptophyta; Magnoliopsida; Poales; Poaceae. The record is from RNAcentral.
AGCUUUAGAUUGGAGUAGUUGUAACCAUUAGAGUUCUUGUUAUGAAUAGUUGUAACCAUACACACAUCAUCUUUUAAUUGUUCAGCAUGUUCAGAACACAACUCUAAUUGUUCAAAUUGCUUCUAUAUACUCCCAUAGAUUUGUGUUCUUGGUCAGCAAAUUAUUCAGCAGGUAACAGUACUCCAAAUACAGAUUGUUCUUGUUCAGAUUUGUUCAAAUUAUCCAUGCACACACAUAUACACAUACACACAGUUUCAGGUAACAGUAUAUCUACACCUACCGUAAUAGGAGUACAGUAUAUUCUGAACAUUACUCCUAUAUACUCCUACUGUAGGAGUAUAUCUAUAGGAUAUGUACUCCUAUAUACUGAGAGAAGAGAGAAGAGAUUGAGAGAGAAGAAAAGAGAGUAUAUAUUCCUAUAGUAAUCAGAAGAUAGAUGUGCAACAAGCAUAUAUAUUCAGCAACCACACUACUUAGAAAGCUUCAUUGCACUAAAAAGACGUCAUUCUUACUCAAGUUCAGGUUUAAGCAAUCUUAAUUAACAAGUUCAGAUUUGGUUCAGGUUUAAGCAAUCUUAAUUAAACAUGCACAGAGGCAUAGCUAAACAUGUCAUUUGAGAGAGAAGAGAAGUUAAUUCAGAAGAGAGAAGAAUACACCUACAGAUUUGGUUCAGGUUUAAGCAAUCUUAAUUAAACAUGCACAGAGGCAUAGCUAAACAUGUCAUUUGAGAGAGAAGAGAAGUUAAUUCAGAAGAGAGAAGAAUACACCUACAGAAUACUCCUAGCAGACAGCAUGCAUACAUGUACACAGAGAAAGGCAAAGCAUAUGAGAACUUAUCUUAGGAGUAGGAGUAGAUCUUGUAGAGCAGUACCCAAUGCUCCACCUGUAGAUGGUGUUGAAAAAAAAAACUUCAAGUACUCCCAAUCAGAAACUUUAAGCAUAUAUCAUGGACAGCUGAAAGUAAAUGCACAAUCAAAGGCAAAUCAACUUCUGAAAAAAAAAAGGCAAAUGCAACUCACUUCUGUAGCCUCUUCUGGAUCCUCACACUCCUCUGAAUAAAUAUUAUGUUUUCAGCAAGAACAGAUGGAGUCGUAGCAACAACAAAUGGACUAUUAGCAAAACCAGCAAAUCAGUAGAUGGACUACUAGCAAAAUCUGCACCAGAUCAUGGUGUACAUUAACAAUAAUUAUAAAGAUCACAGAGCAUAGCAAAAAUAGAAACAAAAACAAGAACAUAUUUUUUACAAAUGCUACUACUAGCAAAAUCUGCACCAGAUCAUGGAGUACUUAGAGAGCUUUCUGAAUUGAUUUGUGCACUUAAACAGUACUCCUAGCUAAGCUAGAUGAGUAUGCUAAUCUGAAUUUCUGAAUGAAUACUGCACUUCAACUAGAACAAGAACAGAGCAACGACAUCUCAGAAAAAGAAAAUAACAGGACCAAAGUACUCCUACCUAAGUGCACAGUACGUGUACAUCAUUUGAACAAGAACAGAGUACUCAUGCUAAACAAGAAUAGAGCCAACGCGCAACAAAAAUGAACAAGAACAGAGUACCUUGAGCCGUUGUUCCUCGUCCUGCCGUGGCCUGG